Long non-coding RNA from Ictalurus punctatus (channel catfish), 848 nucleotides. The record is from Ensembl. Lineage: Eukaryota; Metazoa; Chordata; Actinopteri; Siluriformes; Ictaluridae.
CAACAGUUUGGGGAAGAACCACAUACAGUACGAGUGUGAUGGUCAGGUGUACACAAAUUUUUGGCCAUGUAUGGUGUGUAUGGUAAUAAUCUUGGAGACCAUUGUCACUCCAAAAAAAUAAAAUUUCAAGUUUAAAGGCCGAGUAAAAAUUUCACAUCACCUAAAGCUCACUUCGUAAUGGAUGCAUACCCAUAAAGUUGAGAUUGAGGUGGAGAGAGUUUUGUCCAUUCCAGUGCUCGUCCACCAGGUCCAGCAGAGUCCUCAACACAGCGCACACAUCAGGACCACAGGGCUGGACAGCUGGACCAGACAAAGAGCUUCCCUGGGCUUCUGGAACGAUCAACUGAAGACAUACAGUAUCAAGCACAACUCAGCCGUUGUUUAGAAGUCUGCUCGGUCUCCUGUUUGUCUGGCUGUAAAAAGGAAUUCAUGCAGAGUCUAUGAACUGGUGAUCUUUCCUCUUGCCUCAUCUCGAAAAAUUGUAUGGCAGCAUCAGGUAGGUGGGUCGAUUCAUACAAGUCUAUAGAAUAACAAUAUGGAUACAUUUAUUCAGGUUAUAGGAAAACUCCACUCUAAAGCACAUUAAAUAAGAUCAGAUAAGAUAAUACUUUAUUAAUCCCCAGAUGGAGAAAUUAGGGAUAUGUUUAUAUUGAAAUAUUAAAAUGCAUUAAGAUGGUGCCGUAUUUUCUUGUUCCUGUGAGAAGUUAGAGGUGUGUCACGCUGACGUCACAGCAUUGCUAGUGCAGUUACAAUGGCAUUUAAUGGAAGGAAAAUUUAAACAAUUUCAAAUACAAGGGAUAACAAUAAGCUUCACUGUUGGCACCAAAAAAAACAAAGGAGUAAGAGUU